RNAcentral lists this long non-coding RNA (3507 nucleotides) under Homo sapiens (human). RNAcentral's name for it is "HSALNT0366809". The record is from RNAcentral. Lineage: Eukaryota; Metazoa; Chordata; Mammalia; Primates; Hominidae.
CUUCUUUAAGCCUCUUUUCAGGCUGAGUCCUAAACCUGAAGAAAGUUUAGAGCCUGGGGCUCUAAACUACCUGAGUCUUUCCAAACGACAAGCCAAGAAGACCUGUUGAAAGUUUCCUCUUAAGUUUCGUGGAGAGAGACUCAGGUAUAGAAAUAUCCUUACUGCCACCUGACCUGAAGCAGAAGAAAUCACAGACAGCUUCCAGACCAGCUGCCACCCACCGGGAGGGAAGUGAAAUCUCACCUCAACAAGUGAGUCCGCAGAGCGAGAACCGUGCGACAGUGCGUCUGCCAAUACCUGGAAUGUAGGUGUUCGUUGCAGUGUGGCCUUCCCAGCCGGCCUCUCAGCACACCCGGCCAGGCAGCCAGUGUUCCCAGAGGACACGCUGGGGCCAGACGUGGAGGACCCCGGCCACCUCGGGGAGGGAAAGAGACCAAGAAAAGAACCUCUGUAGCCUUGCUUCUGAGAGUGCAGGUUUGUUACAGAGACGGAGCCAAGGCUGGUCUUGAACUCCUGGGCUUAAGCGAUCCUGCUCCCUGGGCCUCCCAAAGUGCUGGGAUUACAGGCGUGAGCCACUGGGUCCGGCAUCUACAUUUGUUAAAUACAUUAAAACCCUCUUAAUCCUUUGUCUCCGUUUGUUCUCUUUUGCUCCCUGCUCUCCAGGCUCUUGUGGCGGAGGCCCCCGCUCCCUCCGCUGUAGGGUAGCCUCCUUCUGGGGCUGGCUCCUGAGCACUGUUCUUUCUCCUCUCUCUCAUCCUCUCUCAUUCUUAGCUUUGCCUGUCGACUGGGCCAAGUCACAGCCUUUCUGGCCUGUAAGACAACAAAAAUCUCACAUUUUACUAAAUGGAAGGACUAAGUACUCUGUCUUGACUUCAGUGGUUUCCCCGAUUUCUGAUGUUGCUGCUGAAAUAGCAUUAGCAAGCUUGUUUCUUAAAGAAGCCCUCUCUCCAGUGACAAUACUCCCCCCGCCACACACACACACAUGCACACGCACACACAAACAUGCAUGCACGCGCACACACACACACAAUUUUAAAGCCCUCGUGUUAUAUUAAAAAGGUCUGGAUGUUUUUAACAUACAUGGAAAUUUCUUCAGCAGCACAGUGUUACUGGUCUGACGAGGGCGCACAGCCUCCUACCCAAGGACACAGUUCCUGAAGGACCAGGGUGCACAUCUGGCCUGCAGUGCCCUGAGCCACUCUGUCCAAAAGGAAGCCUUGAAUCAAAAGCCUCAUGAAUCCUCUCCUGAGAAAUUCCAUGUCUGGUCUCUUGCUAGACUCAGCCUUUUCCCCACCAAGUCUGCCGCACCUAAUUCUGACCUCACCCUGCUUGGUGGCCCGCUUUGCCUGCUUGCACGCACCUCAGGUCUCAGUGUGUCUCAGCAACAGCUUCCCCUCCUAGGGUGGCCAGAGUUAGCAAGCAAGAAUGCAAGACAGCCAGUUAUGUUUGAAUUUCAGAUAAAUAACAAAUAUAAGUGUCUUUUAGCAUAUAAUAUUUUAUUUGGGACAUAUACUAAUAUUUAUUAUAUAUUAGUCUCAUGAUAUUUGGGACAUAUACUAAAAAAUUAUUUGCCCUUUAUCUGAACUUCAAAUGUGACCAAAUGUGUCCUGUAUUCUGAAUGUGUCUGGCAGUCCUAUAAUCAUUCAUUCAGUCAGUCAUCAGAUAUUUGAGCACCUACCAUGUAUCAAGCACUAUUCUAGAGAGCCCGGAUAGCUCAGUCAGUAGAGCAUCAAGCGCUACUCUAGGUGCUGGGGAAGCCAGCCAAAGUCCCGCCUUCAUAUCUUACAGUAUGUCUACUUUGUUUUUAUAUACAUGUACACUAUAUAUACUUGAAGAUAUGUACCUUUUUCUUUUUUUCUUUUUAUUAUUUUUUUUUGAGACAGAGUCUGACUCUAUUACUCAGUGCAGUGGCACCAUCUCAGCUCACUGCAACUUCUACCUCCUGGGUUCAAGUGAUUCUCCAGCCUCAGCCUCCCAAGUAGCUAGGAUUACAGGCAUGUGCCACCAUACCUGGCUAAUUUUUGUAUUUUUAGUAGAGACAAAGUUUCACCAUGUUGGCCAGGCUUGUCUUGAACUCCUGACCUCAAGUGAUCUGCCCACCUCGGCCUCCCAAAGUGCUAGGAUUACAGGCGUGAGCCACCGCGCCCAGCCCAGAUAUGUACUUUUUAAUGGCAAUGUUACCACAUUUAAUGAGAUUAUCUUUUUAAAAAAUGUUUUAAUUUUUAAAUUUUAAAAAAUAGGGAUGGGAUCUUACUUUGUUGCCUAGACUGGUCUCCAAAUCCAGGUCUCAAGUGAUCCUCCCACCUUGGCCUCCUAAGGUGGUGGGAUUACAGGUGUGAGCCACGGUGCCAGCCAAGAUGAUCAAUACUUCCUUAAUAUCAUCUAAAACAUACACUGUACUGUGUUUAGUUCUCUAUCAUCUCAAAGAUAUCUACAUCUUUAUACAGUAUGUUUGAAUUACGAUUUAAUAAAGAUCCACUCAUGACAUCUAAUUGAUGUCUCUUUUUUUUUAAUAUGUUUCUUUUUUUUCUUUUUAUUUAUUUAUUUAUUUUUGAGACAGAGUCUCCGUGUGUCACCCAGGCUGGAGUGCAAUGGCGCGAUCCCCGCUCACUGCAACCUUUGCCUCCCAGGUUCAAGUGAUUCUCCUGUUGCAGUCUCCCAACUCACUGGAAUUACAGGCACCUGCCAUCAUGCCCAGCUAAUUUUUGUAUUUUUUUUAGAGACAGGGUUUCACCACGUUGGCCAGGCUGCUCUUGAACUCCUGCCUCCCAAAGUGCUGGGAUUACAGGCGUGAACGAUUGUGCCCUGCCUGAUAUGUUUCUAUUCUUUCUUUCUUUCUUUCUUUCUUUUUUUUUUGAGACGGAGUUUCGCUGUUGUUGCCCAGGCUGGAUGCAAUGGCGUGAUCUCGGCUCACUGCAACCUCCGCCUCCUGGGUUCAAGUGAUUCUCCUGCCUCAGCCUCCCGAGUAGCUGGGAUUGCAGGCAUGUGCCACCAUGCCUGGCUAAUUUUGUAUUUUUAGUAGAGACGGGGUUUCUCCAUGUUGGUCAGGCUGGUCUCAAACUCCCGACCUCUGGUGAACUACCCGCCUUGGCCUCCCAAAGUGCUAGGAUUACAGGCGUGAGCCAUCGUCCCCUGCCGGAUAUGUUUCUUAUGUCUCUUUUAAGCUGUAGCAGUUCUCUGUCUUCACCUUUUUUUGGCGCCAUUUAUUUGUUGAAGAAACCGGCCAUUUGUCUUGCAGAACUUACCAGAUACUGAAUUUGGAUAGCUGCCUUCUUGUGGUCAUUAGUUUAUUUCUCUGUCCCCUGUAUUUCCUGUAAACUGAUCAUUAGAUCCAGAGGCUUGAUCAGAUUCGGAUCCAAUGUUUUUGGAUCAGGAGACACAUAAUGGUUGUCUCACCUUUAGUGAGACCAAGAUUGGUCAUUGGGAACAGGGAAGUGGAGCUGGGGUGAGUAUAGGGUCACCAGAUGUCCAGUACAAGCAGAAUGGACAGGGCUGUGCUGCAGGAUG